This 434-nucleotide ribosomal RNA is filed under the name uncultured prokaryote. RNAcentral describes it as "bacterial SSU rRNA". It matches the Rfam family "Bacterial small subunit ribosomal RNA", at positions 355 to 796 of the family's 1533-position model. The record is from RNAcentral.
UGGGGAAUAUUGCACAAUGGGCGCAAGCCUGAUGCAGCGACGCCGCGUGGGGGAUGAAGGCCUUCGGGUUGUAAACUCCUUUCGCUAGGGAAGAAGCCACUUGUGGUGACGGUACCUGGAUAAGAAGCACCGGCUAACUACGUGCCAGCAGCCGCGGUAAUACGUAGGGUGCGAGCGUUGUCCGGAAUUACUGGGCGUAAAGAGCUCGUAGGUGGUUUGUCGCGUCGUCUGUGAAAUUCCGGGGCUUAACUUCGGGCGUGCAGGCGAUACGGGCAUAACUAGAGUGCUGUAGGGGAGACUGGAAUUCCUGGUGUAGCGGUGAAAUGCGCAGAUAUCAGGAGGAACACCGAUGGCGAAGGCAGGUCUCUGGGCAGUUACUGACGCUGAGGAGCGAAAGCAUGGGUAGCGAACAGGAUUAGAUACCCCCGUAGUCC